UCCGGUUUAACACCGGCAGUCUCGUUAGAGUGCCCGGCCGAACCGCUGGCAUACUAACGACAAGGGUUGCGCUCGUUGCGGGACUUAACCCAACAUCUCACGACACGAGCUGACGACAGCCAUGCAGCACCUGAACACCCAGUUCCCUUGCGGGCACAUCCACAUCUCUGCGGACUUCUGGGGGGUUCCAACCCAGGUAAGGUUUUGCGCGUUGCGUCGAAUUAAACCACAUGCUCCACCGCUUGUGCGGGCCCCCGUCAAUUUCUUUGAGUUUUAGCCUUGCGGCCGUACUCCCCAGGCGGGGAACUUAAUGCGUUAGCUGCGACACGGAGACCGUGGAAUGGCCCCCACAUCUAGUUCCCAACGUUUACGGCAUGGACUAC
This 383-nucleotide unclassified non-coding RNA is filed under the name uncultured Kofleriaceae bacterium. RNAcentral describes it as "contains 16S-23S intergenic spacer region". The record is from RNAcentral. Lineage: Bacteria; Pseudomonadati; Myxococcota; Haliangiales; Kofleriaceae.